RNAcentral lists this ribosomal RNA (450 nucleotides) under uncultured Glomeromycotina. RNAcentral describes it as "SSU rRNA". It matches the Rfam family "Eukaryotic small subunit ribosomal RNA", at positions 569 to 1024 of the family's 1831-position model. Lineage: Eukaryota; Fungi; Glomeromycota. The record is from RNAcentral.
AGCAGCCGCGGUAAUUCCAGCUCCAAUAGCGUAUAUUAAAGUUGUUGCAGUUAAAAAGCUCGUAGUUGAAUUUCGGGAUCAAUACGUCGGUCGUGCUUCGGUACGUACUGGCGUCAUUGGUUUCUCCCUUCUGACGAACCAUGAUGUCAUUAACUUGGUGUCAUGGGAAAUCAGGACUGUUACUUUGAAAAAAUUAGAGUGUUUAAAGCAAGCUAACGCUUGAAUACAUUAGCAUGGAAUAAUGAAAUAGGACGUUCGAUCCUAUUUUGUUGGUUUCUAGGAUUGACGUAAUGAUUAAUAGGGAUAGUUGGGGGCAUUAGUAUUCAAUUGUCAGAGGUGAAAUUCUUGGAUUUAUUGAAGACUAACUACUGCGAAAGCAUUUGCCAAGGAUGUUUUCAUUAAUCAAGAACGAAAGUUAGGGGAUCGAAGACGAUCAGAUACCGUCGUAGU